UUUUUCUGUAAGUUUAAUUUAAAAAUCAUGUUGUGAAUUCUAAAGUUGCAAAUUCAAGUAUGGUACGACAUAUAUUGUCCUUGGAAACAAAUAAAACUA
Molecule: long non-coding RNA, 99 nt
Organism: Hibiscus syriacus
Lineage: Eukaryota; Viridiplantae; Streptophyta; Magnoliopsida; Malvales; Malvaceae
Exons: 3
Source: RefSeq, a predicted model, not a curated record